Molecule: ribosomal RNA, 451 nt
Filed under: Busseola sp. BUOUG3863
Lineage: Eukaryota; Metazoa; Arthropoda; Insecta; Lepidoptera; Noctuidae
Description: partial 16S large subunit ribosomal RNA
Source: RNAcentral
UGUCUUUUUGAAAAUAAUAUAAAGUCUAAUCUGCCCACUGAUUUUAUAUUAAAGGGCUGCAGUAUUUUGACUGUACAAAGGUAGCAUAAUCAUUAGUCAUUUAAUUGAUGACUUGUAUGAAAGAUUGGAUGAAAUAUAAACUGUCUCUUAAUUAUUAAUAUAAAACUUAAUUUUUUAAUUAAAAAGUUAAAAUAAUUUAAAAAGACGAGAAGACCCUAUAGAGUUUUAUAUUUAAAUUAAUUAAGAUUAUUUAAAAUUUAAAAUUAAAAUUAAUUUAUUUAUUAUAUUGGGGUGAUAGAAAAAUAUAUAUAACUUUUUUUAUAUAAAAACAUUUAUAAGUGAUUAAAUGAUCCAAUAAUAUUGAUUAUAAGAAAAAAUUACCUUAGGGAUAACAGCGUAAUUUUUUUUUUUAGUUCAUAUAAAAAAAAGAGUUUGCGACCUCGAUGUUGGA